CCGCCGCUGACACCCAUGAGCAACCCCCAUCUUCCUCUCUAAUACAAAAUAGCCCCGUAUUCCUUUUAUCACUAGGACCCUUCAACCAAACAGUCGUUUUCUAAUUUUGAGAGGAGACCUAAUGUAUCUUCUACACAAGACCUAACCUAGAAACCCUAGGAGCCCUCUCCUUCUUUUUCCUAAGAACAAACCAGCCGCAGGACCCUAGUAAAAAAGAACCCCCAGCCUUUUACCAUCUUCUUCUGCUGAGACCAAAAAAAAGACUUAGAGCAGCUAACACACACAAAGAGAACAGCCGCAACCCCACCAAAUCUCCGUCGAACCCCCACCUCCUUCGACCACUCCAGCCACCACCAAGGCUCGCCGGAAAUUAGCCACCCACCCGAAGAGAGAACAACGAACCAGCCUUAAUCUCUAACCUUCAGCAGCCAGAACCCCCCGCCGUUCAGAACUCGAUAGACGUCCAGCUCAAUCCUCCUUGUUCCAUCGUCUUCUCCAGUGAAGAGCCUCACCCCACCUCCUUCAGAAAAUCGAACCAGCCACCCCACCAUCUCCAAGAACUCCUCUGUCACUCUCACUUCAAUAAAUCUUUCUCCAUCUCUUAACAGACGCGCACACAAAAGGGCAAAGAAAAAAACAGAACAGAGAGGGAGAGGGAUUGGACGUGACAGUGAGGGAAAAGAGAUUCAAAAAACAAAAGAACAAAAAUGGAGAUUAUCACCUGAUUUCCUGUAAAACAUUCAUUACUGAAGGUGCACCUUCUUUUUAUAUAUGAUGAUUCAACAA
This 786-nucleotide long non-coding RNA is filed under the name Nicotiana tabacum (common tobacco). RNAcentral's name for it is "long non-coding RNA (NTAB_LNC017307)". The record is from RNAcentral. Lineage: Eukaryota; Viridiplantae; Streptophyta; Magnoliopsida; Solanales; Solanaceae.